Molecule: long non-coding RNA, 6772 nt
Filed under: Salmo salar (Atlantic salmon)
Lineage: Eukaryota; Metazoa; Chordata; Actinopteri; Salmoniformes; Salmonidae
Description: lncRNA (ENSSSAG00000095467.1)
Source: RNAcentral
GUGGGUUCUGUGUUGGCAGGGAAGAGCGUGUGUGUGUGUGUGUGUGUGUGUGUGUGUGUGUGUGUGUGUGGAGGAGCGUGAGGAUUAUUGGCGGCUGAGGAAAUUAAAUAUUUAUAUACUAGACUGACGCUCUGCUCAGCGGUGGCAAACAAAACCCCAUUAUAUGAGAUAGGGUUAGCACUGCUAGCCUGGUUAAACCACCACACUGAAUGCCCUAUCAAUGGUGAUACUGGUAGUCUAGUUUAACCAGUCUGAAUGUUGCACUCUAGUGAUACUGCUCUCCUGGUUAAAUCAGACUGAACGCUGCACUCAGUGGUGAGCCCUGAAGCACAAGCUCUAUUGAUGCAUUUGUUUGUAUAUCUGUUACGAUAUUGGUUUGAAAAUGGAUCAAUUGGUUUUUUUGUUUGUUCAAUAAUGGCCAAACCGAAAGGGAACAAAAUGCAGCAAGAGACCAUUCCAAGAGAUCAGUCUGUUGGGUCAGAAAUAAAAGGCCUUAAAAACCAUUUUCAAAAUCUUCAGUGAGGGAACAUGGACUGCUGAAAGGGCCGUAUGCCGUGUCAACAGAUCGCUGCCUGGCUGUGCGUGGCAGCAGUAAUGGGAGCUCUACUCUAACUCCAACCAAAGGUGUGACUGUGGUGUGUGGAUGCUAGGCUAGUUAAUCCCAAUGCCGUAGAGAAUGGAGGAGAGGGAUUAACCCAUGGUCCCUCACUGAAGAGUUUAACCCUAGCCUCCCUGAGGACAGUCCCUUUCUAAAGAAACCCAAUGUUGGAUUGGGGAAGAACGGGAACAGCCUUGCCCUCUCUCUCUCUCUCUGUUGGGGAUCCCCUCUUCUUCAUUGUCCCCAUCACGAAGGCCAGCUGUCAUUGUCCUCAGGAGGAUGAAGGAGGAAAAGAAACCAUUGAAGGGUGCAUCCAUCUGUGCCUGUCUGUCACCUCCCGGUGUGUUUUAAAGAGAUGGACCCCUCACUGUGGAACUCAAAUGACUUCAGGGCAAUAAGGGGGAUCUAAAUUGGGGAUCUAAGGGGGAUCAAAUGGCUUUAUCACCUCUAAAUGAGAUGCAAUUAGUCUUGAUUCAGGUUUGUUAUCUUACAGCCAUGACUGACUUUGUUAAAAAAUGUAGAUAAGAUAUAAGACAGGGAAACUCAGGCAUUGACAUGACUAAGCAUGGCCCAUUAACAAACAUGACUAAGCAUGGGCCAUUGACAAACAUUACUAAGCAUGGCCCAUUGACAAACAUGACUAAGCAUGGGCCAUUGACAAACAUGACUAAGCAUGGCCCAUUGACAAACAUGACUAAGCAUGGCCCAUUGACAAACAUGACUAAGCAUGGCCCAUUGACAAACAUGACUAAGCAUGGCCCAUUGACAAACAUGACUAAGCAUGGCCCAUUGACAAACAUGACUAAGCAUGGCCCAUUGACAAACAUGACUAAGCAUGGCCCAUUGACAAACAUGACUGAGCAUGGCCCAUUGACAAACAUGACUGAGCAUGGCCCAUUGACAAACAUGACUAAGCAUGGGCCAUUGACAAACAUUAGUAAGCAAGUGCAUGUCAACGUGUAUAACGUGUAUAACUAUUGCGUCAUGCUUCGCUAAGUGAUCUUGGUCCCAUCGAUUACAGGUUCAAUACCAAUGGGUGUUAAUGCAGUGCAACAACGCCAGGGUGGAACAAUAACAGACUAGCCAAGCAGAAGAGAUCUGAACACUAACAGCUCUUUUGUGAAAGUGUGAAAGAGCCAUGUUUUCCAUAGGCAGGUCAGGCGAGGUCAGUAGAGCUACGGGCAUGGAUCUGUAUAGAACCAACUGACUUGAACAAAUCAAAUUAAUUGUGUAGAUAUUGGCUACGUUCCAAUAUCCAUACUGGCAUGUCACUUCACACCACUUCACACCACGUGGUUUGCUAGUGUGGAUUUCAGAAUAGAGCAAAAUCCUCUAAGUCAGUCCCUGUGAAGAAGAUAUGUGUUGUAAUAACUAGACUGAUAUAAAUGUGCUGUGUAUCAGCAAAUGGAAUACCACUGACACUAUCAUGAAAACCUCUGUGAGAUAGCUAAUUCAUAACAGAAGAAUCUGAGAAUCUGACCUCUAACUAUUCUAUCGGACAGCAUAAUCUACUUUUUGAAUUACAAGAAGAGAAUAUGUAUAUCAAAUCAAAUUGCAUUUGUCACAUGGGCCAAAUACAACAGUUGUAGACCUUACCGUGAAAUGCUUACUUACAAGCCCAUAACCAACAACGCAGUUUUAAGAAAAUAGAGUUAAGAAAAUAUUUACUAAAUGAACAAAAGUAAAACAUAUAGAAAUAAAGUAUCACAAUAAUAAUAAUGAGGCUAUAUACAGGGGGUACCGGUACCGAGUCAAUGUGCGGGGGUACAGAAGUCAAGGUAAUUUAUACAUGUAAGUAGGAGUAAAGUGACUAUGCAUAGAUAAUAAACAGCGGGAAGCUUGUCCCCAGUGAUGUACUGGGCUGUAAGCACUACCCUCUGUAGCACCUUUCGGUCGGAUGCCGUGCAGUUGCCAUACCAGGCAGUGAUGCAACCGGUCAGGAUGCUCUCGAUGGUGCAGCUGUAGAACUUUUUGAUGAUCUGUACCAAGGCCAAAUCUUUUCAGUCUCAUGAGGGGGAAAAUAUGUUGUUGUGUACUCUUGACGACUUUAUUGGUGUGUUUGGACCAUGAUAGUUUGUUGGUGAUGUGGACACCAAGGAACUUGGAACUCUCAACCCGCUCCACUACAGCCCCGUCGAUGUGAAUGGGGCCCUGCUUUUUCUGUAGUCCCCAACCAUCUCCUUUGUCUUGCUCACAUUGAGGGAGAGGUUGUUUUCCUAGCACCACACUGUCAAGUCUCUGAUCUCCUCUUUAUAGUCUGUCUCAUCGUUGUCGGUGAUCAGGCCUACCACCGUUAUGUUGUUAGCAAACUUAAUUAAUGAUGGUGUUGGAGUCGUGCUUGGCCACGCAGUCGUUGGAGAACAGAGAGUACAGGAGGGGACUGAGCACGCACCCUUGAGGGACCCCCGUGUUGAGGAUCAGCGUGGCAGAUGUGUUGUUGCCUACCUGUACCACCUGGGGGUGGCCCGUCAGGAAAUUCAGGAUCCAGUUGCAGAGGGAGGUGUUUAGUCCCAGGAGAAUAUAUGGAGAACAUAAUAUGUUCAUUAUUCAUGUACCUUUUGGCAGCCCUCCAAAGAUGGGGAGAGAGAGAGAGACAAGGAGAGUGAGAGAGGUGCUGGCUGGGGGCCACCGCUAGCUAUCUCGUUUAGACUCACUACACCUGUACUUUGUUAUGAGAGACUGAGAGGGGACGGCAACAACAGAGCCUCUUCACAGAGCUCGUUCUUCUCACAGCUGUAGAGGACUGUUCUGUAGGUGGUCCCUUUCCCCACACACACCUGCUUGAAUGUGGAUAACCGGGCCUUCACCACGCUGUGCUGAGCAGAGCAGCUGCAGCACAAUAGCAGGGCUGAUAUUUAGAGCUGGGUCUGACAUCGUUUAACACCCAUGCUUUAACAGUAUCACUGCAUGAAAGGUAUUUGUGCGGUUUGGCCCCUGGCAGGUAAUGUCAGCCGUAUGCCAUAGCCUUGUGGAGUUAGGCUAAAGCGGGCGAUCAAAACACAUUGCUGAUAAGGCUAAUGUUGGAGCUGAUUGAUGGCGAUAGAGAUCCUUUUUUCAGAUGUGGAACUAAUUCCACAUAUGUGACUGCCUCUGUCAAACAGACGCUUAAGGGGGCAAAAUCUAAAUGUAGAUGUUACAUUUCAUCAUAGUAGGCUGAACUAACGUGUUAGAAAUGUGUGGUGGAUGUCAUGAUGUGGUUGACUCAACUCUAGUGGUUAGGGGUUGGAGGAAGGUGUCCAUGGCCACCUGUUUUCCCGACUGUGGUCACCAUAAAGGUCUGUCUUGGUAUAAGCCCUGUGUCCCAGUGGAUGUUGUCCACACCCCUCCCUACCUGGAAGUGAGUUAUACUGUCAGCAGCUUUUGUGAGUGGCCGGAUCCUACCCUUUCAUCCUGGGAUGAUGACUCAGAGGUCAGGAAAGACUGGGAGAGCAUUUCCACCUCUCCACCCACUUUACAAUCAACUCUUAGUCAAUGAGCAAUGGUUGGUCAUGGGACACAUUGAACUUAUCAUGCUACUUCAAUGGCUAUUGUGCCUUUCAAUUGAUGAUGGGUUAUGACAAAUUCAGGAAUGCUGGACACAUCUGAUGGAAAUUUUAAAAAACGUUUAAAAAAAACAGGUCCAAGGAACUGUUAAAGGUCCAGUAGGCAAUUUUGUGGGCUAUUCAACCAAAUUCACAUCAAAAUGUGAGUUAUCGAUCUGUCAUUCUCAUUGAAAGCAAGUCUGAUAAGCGGUAGAUCAGUUCUAUGUGCACUAUUUCUAUACUUCACGUUAUGAUUAGCUUUUGCAUCUUUUUACUUUCGGUUUUGUAAACCAGUUUCAAACAGCUGGAAAUACUAUAAUUUUAUCAAUAAAAAUAUACUGUAUUUCACAGCUGUUAAGAUUGUACAAUGAUUCUCUACACUAAGUGUUUUCAAAGUCUGAGACAUAGGGCCUCCCUUCAGAAAACCUAAAGACAGCCAUGCUGAAUGGAAUACAGUGCCUUGCAAAAGGAUUCAUAGUCAAAAUUGGUGAAGUGAAAUGGGAAAAAAAAUUCAAUGGAAAAGUGGUGAGUGCAUAUGUAUUCACCCCCUUUGCUAUGAAGCCCUUGAAUAAGAUCUGGUGCAACCAAUUACCUUUAGAAGUCACAUUAUUAGUUAGAUUGCACACAGGUGGACUUUAUUUAAGUGUCACAUGAUCUGUCACAUGAUCUGUCACAUGAUCUCAGUAUAUAUACACAAGCAAGUAACACCAUGAAGACCAAGGAGCUCUCCAAACAGGUCAGGGACAAAGUUGUGGAGAAGUACAGAUCAGGGUUGGGUUAUAAACAAAUAUCCGAAACUUUGAACAUCCCACGGAGCACCAUUUAAAUCCAUUAUUAAAAAAUGUAAAGAACAUGGCACCACAAUAAACCUGCCAAGAGAGGGCCACCAACAAAAACUCAUGGACCAGGCAAGGAGGGCAUUAAUCAGAGAGGCAACAAAGAGACCAAACAUAACCCUGAAGGAGCUGCAAAGCUCCGGAGCGGAGAUUGGAGUAUCACCUCUCAUCACCCCGAGAACACCAUCCCCACAGUGCAGCAUGGUGGUGCAGCAUCAUGCUGUGGGGAUGUUUUUUAUCGACAGGGACUGGGAAACUGGUCAGAAUUGAAGGAAUGAUGGAUGGCGCUAAAUACUGGGAAAUUCUUGAGGGAAACCUGUUUGUCUUCCAGAGAUUUGAGACUGGGACGGAGGUUCACCUUUCAGCAGGACAAUGACCCUAAACAUACUGCUAAAGCAACACUUGAGUGGUUUAAGGCAAAACAUUUAAACAUCUUGGAAUGGCCUAGUCAAACCCAGACCUCAAUCCAAUUGCGCAUCCUGUGGUAUGACUUAAAGAUUGCUGUACACCAGCGGAACCUAUCAAACUUGAAGGAGCAUGAGCAGUUUUGCCUUGAAGAAUGGGCAGAAAUCCCAGUGGCUAGAUGUGCCAAGCUUAUAGAGCCAUACCCCAAGAGAUUUGCAGCUGUAAUUGCUGCAAAAGGUGGCUCUUUAAAGUACUGACUUUGGGGUGAUGAAUAGUUACGCACGCUCAAAUUUUCAAAUAUUUUGCAUCUACAAAACGGUAGGCAUGUUGUGUAAAUCAAAUGAUACAAACCCCCAAAAAGUAUAUUUUAAUUCCAGGUUGUAAGGCAACAAAAUAGGAAAAAUGCCAAUGGGGGUGAAUACUUUCGCAAGCCACUGUAUAUUUAAAGGGUCAGUGUAGUCAAAAAUGUGAUUUCCUGAGUUGUUUUCACAAUAUGAGGUUGGAAUAAUAUUCGAAAUUGUGAAAAUUUGCAUAAUACCAUUUUAGCGGAAGAGAUGUUUGAAAAGACCUGAAAUUUCAGCUCAUUUAGCAUGGGUGGAGUUUUGGUCUGCCUGGUAACCAAAAUGAAUAGACCAAUAACAAAUAGUUUCAAACCUCUCUGCCAAUAACAGCUAGUUUUCAGAUUACAUGUCCCUCCCAUUAGGCUCCUCCAAUUAUGUCCCUCACUCAGACCACUCCCAGACAUUCCUAGCAAAAUGAUUGCUUGAGAAAUGGCUUUUUCUAAGAAGCUAUUUAUGCUUAUUUGUUACAAUUUUAAUUGGAGAAAAUAAUCACUGUAAGGUACUUAAUUGUUACCUGGAAAUGAUUUGAUGUUGAGAGAAAAUGUGUGCAUUGGACCUUUUUAAAGAUGAAUAUAUUCCAUUUAGUUUGUAAAAUAAUUUUUUAAGGCAUUAUUAUCAUGCUCCACAUUUGGGCAUAAACACAACUUAAACAUUCAAGUGACUUAUAAAAUAUUUGUUUCUAUUACAAAGUAUAUCUUUGCCCUUUUUUAAAAUGCAACUGCCCUUUUAUCAGCUCUAUUGAGCACUGAGGCUAAACCAUGCUAGAAAAUCCAAUUAUAGUUGCAUUUAAAAAAGGAUGCCAUGGAGGCAAUUUUAGGAGUUGAGAAACAAAUGUGGAAUACCCCUCUUUAUAAAUGUCCACGUGAUUGUAGCAAAACACAGGCCUUUCAUUUAUGAACUAUUAGAGUACAGAAUAGAGUUUGACUUGGCAUUCCUUUCAUGCCUCCCUUGAAACUCUCUGGGGGGCCCCCUGGGAAGGCGUUAGUGACAGGCAGGUUGACUCUUAACCCACAGUCCCCACGAUUAUAUCUGCGGGGCGGGCGAGUUUAGGGUCAUGAAAUAUUGUGUGGG